This 382-nucleotide ribosomal RNA is filed under the name uncultured bacterium. RNAcentral describes it as "bacterial SSU rRNA". It matches the Rfam family "Bacterial small subunit ribosomal RNA", at positions 28 to 409 of the family's 1533-position model. The record is from RNAcentral.
GACGAACGCUGGCGGCGUGCCUAACACAUGCAAGUCGAACGGAGAUAUGAUUUCGGUUGUAUCUUAGUGGCGAACGGGUGAGUAACGCGUGAGCAACCUGACUCUUAGAGGGGGAUAACACUCGGAAACGGGUGCUAAUACCGCAUAAGACCACGACAUGGCAUCAUGACGAGGUCAAAGGAGCAAUCCGCUGAGAGAGGGGCUCGCGUCCCAUUAGAUAGAUGGCGGGGUAACGGCCCACCAUGUCAGCGAUGGGUAGCCGAGCUGAGAGGCUGAUCGGCCACACUGGAACUGAGACACGGUCCAGACUCCUACGGGAGGCAGCAGUGGGGAAUAUUGGGCAAUGGGCGCAAGCCUGACCCAGCAACGCCGCGUGAGGGAA